CGGGCACUCCGGCUUCCUCCCACAGUCCAAAGACAUGCAGAUUGGGGACUAGGUUAAUUGAUAACUCUAAAUUGUCCAUAGGUGUGAAUGUGAGCAUGAAUGGUUGUUUGUCUCUAUGUGUCAGCCCUGCGAUAGUCUGGCGACCUGUCCAGGGUGUACCCUGCCUCUCGCCCGAUGUCAGCUGGGAUAGGCUCCAGCCCCCCCGCGACCCUCAAGAGGAUGAAGCGGUUAGAAGAUGAAUGAAUGAAUGAAUUUCUUA
Molecule: long non-coding RNA, 259 nt
Organism: Epinephelus moara (kelp grouper)
Lineage: Eukaryota; Metazoa; Chordata; Actinopteri; Perciformes; Serranidae
Exons: 2
Source: RefSeq, a predicted model, not a curated record